This 908-nucleotide ribosomal RNA is filed under the name Alternaria alternata. RNAcentral's name for it is "LSU rRNA". It matches the Rfam family "Eukaryotic large subunit ribosomal RNA", at positions 36 to 963 of the family's 3401-position model. The record is from RNAcentral. Lineage: Eukaryota; Fungi; Ascomycota; Dothideomycetes; Pleosporales; Pleosporaceae.
UAGCAAAUCAAUAAGCGGAGGAAAAGAAACCAACAGGGAUUGCCCUAGUAACGGCGAGUGAAGCGGCAACAGCUCAAAUUUGAAAUCUGGCUCUUUUAGAGUCCGAGUUGUAAUUUGCAGAGGGCGCUUUGGCUUUGGCAGCGGUCCAAGUUCCUUGGAACAGGACGUCACAGAGGGUGAGAAUCCCGUACGUGGUCGCUGGCUAUUGCCGUGUAAAGCCCCUUCGACGAGUCGAGUUGUUUGGGAAUGCAGCUCUAAAUGGGAGGUACAUUUCUUCUAAAGCUAAAUAUUGGCCAGAGACCGAUAGCGCACAAGUAGAGUGAUCGAAAGAUGAAAAGCACUUUGGAAAGAGAGUCAAACAGCACGUGAAAUUGUUGAAAGGGAAGCGCUUGCAGCCAGACUUGCUUACAGUUGCUCAUCCGGGUUUCUACCCGGUGCACUCUUCUGUAGGCAGGCCAGCAUCAGUUUGGGCGGUAGGAUAAAGGUCUCUGUCACGUACCUCCUUUCGGGGAGGCCUUAUAGGGGAGACGACAUACUACCAGCCUGGACUGAGGUCCGCGCAUCUGCUAGGAUGCUGGCGUAAUGGCUGUAAGCGGCCCGUCUUGAAACACGGACCAAGGAGUCUAACAUCUAUGCGAGUGUUUGGGUGUCAAGCCCGAGCGCGUAAUGAAAGUGAACGGAGGUGGGAACCCGCAAGGGUGCACCAUCGACCGAUCCUGAUGUCUUCGGAAGGAUUUGAGUAAGAGCAUGGCUGUUGGGACCCGAAAGAUGGUGAACUAUGCUUGAAUAGGGUGAAGCCAGAGGAAACUCUGGUGGAGGCUCGCAGCGGUUCUGACGUGCAAAUCGAUCGUCAAAUUUGGGCAUAGGGGCGAAAGACUAAUCGAAAUUUUUGUAACUGGUUCCGCCAA